Molecule: ribosomal RNA, 318 nt
Filed under: uncultured Bacteroidota bacterium
Lineage: Bacteria; Pseudomonadati; Bacteroidota
Description: bacterial SSU rRNA
Rfam family: Bacterial small subunit ribosomal RNA
Source: RNAcentral
GAUGAACGCUAGCGGGAGGCUUAACACAUGCAAGUCGAGGGGUAGAGUAGUAAUACUUGAGACCGGCGGACGGGUGCGUAACGCGUAUGCAACUUACCUUAUACAGGGGGAUAGCCCGUGGAAACGCGGAUUAACACCCCAUAGGACAUUUUUGUCGCAUGGCGGGGAUGUUAAAUUUGAGGAGGUAUAAGAUAGGCAUGCGUCUGAUUAGCUAGUUGGUAAGGUAACGGCUUACCAAGGCGACGAUCAGUAGGGGUUCUGAGAGGAUAAUCCCCCACACUGGUACUGAGACACGGACCAGACUCCUACGGGUGGCAG